UAUCCAAAUAUUCCCUUUCYAAAAAUUWAAUUUUUCCUGAAAAUUUUAAUUCCUACCCCCUAAUUUCAGAAAAAAGUGGAUUUAGAUUUUAUUUUUAUUAGUAAAAGCAUUUAAGGGAUUUGAAUAAUAAGAAUWUUCAUCAAAAGCAAAUUCAGGUAUUUCAUAAAAACCCCAAUCCAGGUUGUUAAAAUUAUUUAAAGWAAAUAGAGCAUUUAAUCUAAAAAUAUAUAGAAAAAUGAAAUUKUCUUGCUUAAAAAUUAAUUUAUUSCACCUAUAUUAAUAUUUAACCCUCCUAUUAAUCUUACUGUGUUAAAUAAAGUUUUAGUAUUAUUAUAUUUAUUAUAUAAAUAUUUGAUAAUUUCAUUUUUAGUAAAAAAAAUUAAAUAUAUUCAAUAAAAACAAUCAACUGAUAAAGGGAUUCGGAACCCAUAACCUCCUGAUUACAAAUCAGCGGCUCUACCAUUGAGCUACAUCAGCAAAAAAAUUUAUCCUCGAAUUAAAAGCAAAAAUUUGCUAAAAAUAUUACUAUUUUUAUACAAUUUUUCUUUUGUAAUAAAUAUUCUUUUUAAUUUCUUACUCAUUUUUAUGAACAGAAUAUUAAUCUUAAAGUUUUUUCCUACUUAUAUGCUUUCAGUAGUUAUUUUUAUUAAACUUAGCUACUCAGUAAAAUACUUAUGAUAAAAUAACUGAACUACUAUAGGUUUAAUUUCCUUGGUCCUCUCGUACUAAAGGAAAUACUUGGCAAUAUUCUUACGUUUACAUCGGAUACGGACCGAACUGUCUCACGACGUUCUGAACCCAGCUCACGUGCCGCUUUAAUGGGCGAACAGACCAACCCUUGAGACCUGCUACAGCCUCAGGAUGCGACGAGCCGACAUCGAGGUGCCAAACCUCCCCGUCAAUAUGGACUAUCGGGAGAGAUCAGCCUGUUAUCCCUAGAGUAACUUUUAUCCGUUAAGCGACAAUCCUACCACUUAGAGUUGUCGGAUCACUAAGACCGACUUUCGUCCUUGUUCAAGUAGUUACUCUUACAAUCAAGCCUUUUUACUAUUUAACCUUUACAUUUAUUAAUUUUAAUAUUUUAUUUUUAUUAAAAUAAAAGACCUUUDUGCACCUCCGUUACUCUUURGGAGGCAACCGCCCCAGUCAAACUACCUCUUUGAAUUUUUAUAUAAUAUGAUAAAAAAAUUAUAGUUAGAAAUUAAAGUUUAUUAAAGUGGUGUUUCAUUAGUAGUAUAAACUUCCCACUUACACUAUAUAAAUAAAAUUUAAUUUCAAUUUCAAAUUGCAGUAAAGCUUCAUAGGGUCUUUCUGUCCUGAUGUGAAAAGUCUGUAUCUUUACAAACAUUUCUAUUUCACCGAAUAUUUCUUAAAGACAGUGUUCAAGUCGUUACACCUUUCGUGCGGGUCGGAACUUACCCGACAAUGAAUUUCGCUACCUUAGGACCGUUAUAGUUACAGCCGCCGUUUCUAGAGCUUAUAAAAAAAUUAUUUGUAUUACAUAAAAAUUCUUUUUAACUUACUAGCACUGGGCAGGUGUCAGUAUCCUUACUUCAUAAUUACAUUUUGCGGAUACCUUGUUUUUGAUAAACAGUCGCUUGAACUUUUUAAUUGCAGCCUUAUAGGCAUCCUUUAUCCCGAAGUUACAGGAUUGUUUUGCCGAGUUCCUUAAAGAAAUUUAUUUCGUCCUCUUAGUACAUUAUAGUACCUACUCCCUUGUGUCAGUUUUAGUACGGGCAUAUUUAUAAUUAUGCAAUAUCAUUUUUCUAGCAAAAAUUUUAUUUUUAAGUAAAAAAUCAUUUAUUUUAAUUACCUAAAAUUUAUAUUCAGGUCACUAAUUGUAUAUUAAUAUAUAAUAUGGUUCAAGAAUAUUAACUUGAUUCCCAUCAAUUACAAAAAUUUCUUAUCUUAGCCCCGACUAACCCUAUGCGGUUUACCCUUUCAUAGGAACCUUUGAGUUUUUGAGGUAUUAGAUUCUUCUUAAUAUUUAACGUUACUUAAACCGACAUUCUCACUUCUACUUUAUUCACAAAAUUUAAUAACUUUGCUUUAUUUUAAUGUAGAACGCUCCCCUACCGAUCUAUCUUAUUAAUAAUAGAUCCCAUUACUUCGAUAAAAAAAUAUUUUAUUGUUCAUUUUAGGUGCAGAAUUACUUUACCAGUAAGCUUUUACGCACUUUUUAAAGGAAAACUGCUUCUAAGCUUACCUUCUGGUUGUAUAUGUAACAACUCCACAUCCUUUAAAAUUUUCGUUAUAUUCUUAUCUUAGUUAAUGGUCUGGGUUGUUUCCCUUUUGACUUAUAAGAUUAUCCCUAAAAGUCUCACUUAUUAUAAUGGUAAUAUAAAAAUAUUAUUAGUUUAUAGUAAUUAAAAAAAUAGUGCUUUACCCUUUUUAUAUAUAUUAUAAUAGCUGCGCCUCAAUACAUUUCGGGGAGAACCAGCUAGCUCCAAAUUCGACAAGCAUUUCACAACUAACCUCAUUUCUUCUGAUAUUUUGCAGCAUUAAUCAGUUCGAACUUCUAUAUAAAGUUAUUUAUAUUUCAUUCUGAACAAGGUUAUAUCAAUUGGAUUCGGGUUCGGGUUUUUGGUCAUAUACAAACGCUAUUACUAAUUGUAAUAACUCGUUUUCACUAUGGCUUCAAGCUUAAUUUUAGCCUUUUGCUUAAAAACCAAAACUUAUCGGUUCCUUCUUCAACAGGCAAAUAGUUAGGUUCAUAUACCCUUCUAUUGUUUUUAGGAUUAAAAUUUCAGUCUCUUUUCACUCCCUCCCGGGGUUCUUUUCAUCUUUCCCUCACGGUACUAGUCCACUAUCGGUUACUUUAAAGUAUUUAGUUUUACAAGGAAGUUCUUGUUUCUUCAAUAUAAACUAGUUGUUUAUAUUUACUUUACUUUAUUUAAACUAAACGUAUAACGUUUUUUAUCCCUACUCGUUCGCCACUACUAAGGGAAUAAUUGUUAUUUUUUUUUCCUUUGAGUACUAAGAUGAUUCAGUUCCUCAAGUAAAUCAUUUUUAAUUUAAAAAAAUAUUAAAAGUUCCCCUAUUCGGAAAUCUUAUUUUAAAGUAUGCAUAUAAUCAGCUCUAAAUAAGUUUUUCGUAAAUUAUCUACGUCCUUCAUCGUCUUAAAGUACCUAGACAUCCUUUUAUCCUAUAAUUAAAAUUUUAUUUACUUUCAUUUACUUAUAUCCCAUAUAUAUGUUAUUUUUAUAAAAACGAGAAGCGGAUUUGAACCGCUGACUUCGGGUCAUGAGCCCGACGAGCUACCAACCUUG
RNAcentral lists this small RNA (3269 nucleotides) under Neospora caninum. Its description in RNAcentral is "partial large subunit ribosomal RNA". Lineage: Eukaryota; Apicomplexa; Conoidasida; Eucoccidiorida; Sarcocystidae. The record is from RNAcentral.